Molecule: long non-coding RNA, 547 nt
Organism: Hippocampus zosterae (dwarf seahorse)
Lineage: Eukaryota; Metazoa; Chordata; Actinopteri; Syngnathiformes; Syngnathidae
Exons: 2
Source: RefSeq, a predicted model, not a curated record
AAUUGCAAGUACGCAAUGGAAUUCCUUUAUGGCCCUCGAGAGGAAAUGUCCAACACAGAUGAUGCCAAACUGGACCAGAGUGCCAUGUCCUCAGAGCCAGCAGUCAAUGGAGCACCAUGAGAAAUGUGCAUUUUCCGUUUCUGGCCAACAUAAUCUACCAAUGAGAAGAUUCUCCUGAUGAAAUGGCGGAGGCCACUGGUCGAGUGUGGCCAUCCACUUUCUCCUUCAUUGGAAUCUGGGACAUUGCCAUCAGCUCGGAUAAAUGGCAGUGGUGUAAUGUUGUUUUAAUCCGCAACAGACAUCAUCUCAUGCAAAUUUAUUUAGGAAUGUUACAAUGGUUGAAAAGAUGAUUGUAUGAAUAAAAUAUUUUCGAAAAAUGUAAAAAUGACACCUUGUAAGCGAUUGAGCUGAGGUCCUGUGCACAGUCCAAAAUAUAGCAAAAAUGUUUUAAUUUGACUUAUGUCUCUGCCAAUUCAAAUGUAAGCUUUGUGUAAAUAUGCAUACCUGCAUGGAACGCCAAUUAAAAGGCACCACAUGUGACACCACA